GGAGAGGUGGCCGAGCGGCUGAAGGCGACGGUUUUGAAAACCGUUGGCGUCGAAAGGCGCCCGGGGGUUCGAAUCCCUCCCUCUCCG
This 87-nucleotide transfer RNA is filed under the name Phycisphaerae bacterium. RNAcentral's name for it is "tRNA-Ser". It matches the Rfam family "tRNA". Rfam says of the family: Transfer RNA (tRNA) molecules are approximately 80 nucleotides in length. Their secondary structure includes four short double-helical elements and three loops (D, anti-codon, and T loops). The record is from RNAcentral. Lineage: Bacteria; Pseudomonadati; Planctomycetota; Phycisphaerae.